This 273-nucleotide long non-coding RNA is filed under the name Trifolium pratense (red clover). RNAcentral's name for it is "long non-coding RNA (TPRA_LNC008042)". The record is from RNAcentral. Lineage: Eukaryota; Viridiplantae; Streptophyta; Magnoliopsida; Fabales; Fabaceae.
UUAAUUUUUAAAUUAAAUAAAAAUUAUGGUAAAAACACUUUAUUCUUUCAACGUGGCAUCUUCCUUACCUCAAUAAUACUCAAAUCAAAGUACUACACUCCUACAUGCUACAGUAACUCCUUUUCACCACCCAAAGAAGCUGGCUGGCAUGGUCUCCUUCACCGUUUGUUAGUUUUCUUCUCCCUCUUGUCUUGUUCCACAAUUUGAAAUGCAUGCAUAUGAUAUGUGAGACACUCCAUUUGUAUCAAGAAAUUCCUUACUUGAUUUUCACCC